ACAAAACAUGAAACAACAAGGACAGAACAACAAGAGAUGGUAUGAUGAUGGUGGCUUCACUGUCCCACAGAUCACUCCUCCUCCUCUUUCUUCUA
This 95-nucleotide small RNA is filed under the name Arabidopsis thaliana (thale cress). Its description in RNAcentral is "ATSL073180". The record is from RNAcentral. Lineage: Eukaryota; Viridiplantae; Streptophyta; Magnoliopsida; Brassicales; Brassicaceae.